This 230-nucleotide ribosomal RNA is filed under the name Clostridioides difficile. RNAcentral's name for it is "partial 23S ribosomal RNA". It matches the Rfam family "Bacterial large subunit ribosomal RNA", at positions 401 to 633 of the family's 2925-position model. The record is from RNAcentral. Lineage: Bacteria; Bacillati; Bacillota; Clostridia; Peptostreptococcales; Peptostreptococcaceae.
UAUGAUCCAGAGUACCACGGGACACGUGAAACCCUGUGGGAAGCAGGAGGGACCACCCUCCAAGGCUAAAUACUACCUAGUGACCGAUAGCGUAUAGUACCGCGAGGGAAAGGUGAAAAGAACCCCGUGAGGGAAGUGAAAUAGAACCGGAAACCCUGCACUUACAAGCUGUGGAAGCACAUUUCUUGUGUGACCGCGUACUUUUUGUAGAACGGGCCAACGAGUUACGU